AAUGAACGCUGGCGGCGCGCCUAAUACAUGCAAGUCGAGCGAGAAGACGUAGCAAUACGUUUGUAAAGCGGCGAACGGGUGAGGAAUACAUGGGUAACCUACCCUCGAGUGGGGAAUAACUAGCCGAAAGGUUAGCUAAUACCGCGUACGCUUCUUGGACUUCGGUUCAGGGAGGAAAGCGAUGCCGAGGGUAUCGCGCUCUUGGAUGGGCUCAUGUCCUAUCAGCUUGNGGUGAGGUAACGGCUCACCAAGGCUUCGACGGGUAGCUGGUCUGAGAGGACGAUCAGCCGCACUGGCACUGCGACACGGGCCAGACUCCUACGGGAGGCAGCAGUAAGGAAUAUUGCGCAAUGGGCGAAAGCCUGACGCAGCGACGCCG
Molecule: ribosomal RNA, 379 nt
Filed under: uncultured bacterium
Lineage: Bacteria
Description: bacterial SSU rRNA
Rfam family: Bacterial small subunit ribosomal RNA
Source: RNAcentral